Molecule: ribosomal RNA, 503 nt
Filed under: uncultured bacterium
Lineage: Bacteria
Description: bacterial SSU rRNA
Rfam family: Bacterial small subunit ribosomal RNA
Source: RNAcentral
AGCGAAUAGAUACCCCGGUAGUCCCAGCUGUAAACGGUGCGCGUUUGGUGUGAGAAGGUUCGACCCUUCUUGCGCCGGAGUUAAACACGUUAAAAAACGCGCCGCCUGGGAAAUAACGGUCGCAAGACUAAAACUACAAAGAAAAUUAGCGGGGGCCCGGCACAAGCGGUGGAGUAUGUGGCUUAAUUCGAUGCAACGCGAAGAACCUUACCUAGGCUUGACAUGCAUCACUAAGGUGGUGAAAGCCAUCGAGAGUAGCAAUACUCAUUUUGCACAGGUGCUGCAUGGCUGUCGUCAGCUCGUGUCGUGAGAUGUUGGGUUAAGUUCCCGCAACGAGCGCAACCCUCAUAUGCUGUUACCGGGCCCAUAAAACCGGGUCUCUGCAUAGACUGCCCCGUGAAACGGGGAGGAAGGCGAGGAUGACGUCAAGUCAGCAUGGCCCUUACGCCUAGGGCUGCACACGUACUACAAUGCCCAGUACAAAACGAGCCGGCUCUGCAAAG